AGAGUUUGAUCCUGGCUCAGGAUGAACGCUGGCGGCGUGCUUAACACAUGCAAGUCGAACGGAAAGCCCCUUCGGGGGAAUUCGAGUGGCGAACGGGUGAGUAACACGUGGGCAAUCUGCCCCUCACUCCGGGAUAACUCAGGGAAACUUGAGCUAAUACCGGAUAUGCCGGUAGGACCUCAUGGUCCAGCCGGGAAAGCUCCGACGGUGAGGGAUGAGCCCGCGGCCCAUUAGCUUGUUGGUGAGGUAACGGCCCACCAAGGCGACGAUGGGUAGCCGAGCUGAGAGGCUGAUCGGCCACACUGGGACUGAGACACGGCCCAGACUCCUACGGGAGGCAGCAGUGGGGAAUCUUGCGCAAUGGGCGAAAGCCUGACGCAGCAACGCCGCGUGCGGGAUGAAGGCCUUCGGGUCGUAAACCGCUUUCAGCAGGGAUGAAACUGACAGUACCUGCAGAAGAAGCCCCGGCUAAAUACGUGCCAGCAGCCGCGGUAAUACGUAUGGGGCGAGCGUUAUCCGGAUUCAUUGGGCGUAAAGAGCGCGUAGGCGGCUUGUUAAGCGAGAUGUGAAAACCGGGGGCUUAACCCGCGGCCUGCAUCUCGAACUGGCAGGCUUGAGUCUGGUAGAGGAGUGUGGAAUUCCCAGUGUAGCGGUGAAAUGCGCAGAUAUUGGGAGGAACACCAGUGGCGAAGGCGGCACUCUGGGCCACGACUGACGCUGAGGCGCGAAAGCUAGGGGAGCGAACAGGAUUAGAUACCCUGGUAGUCC
RNAcentral lists this ribosomal RNA (768 nucleotides) under uncultured bacterium. RNAcentral's name for it is "bacterial SSU rRNA". It matches the Rfam family "Bacterial small subunit ribosomal RNA", at positions 8 to 796 of the family's 1533-position model. The record is from RNAcentral.